Molecule: ribosomal RNA, 253 nt
Filed under: uncultured bacterium
Lineage: Bacteria
Description: partial 16S ribosomal RNA
Rfam family: Bacterial small subunit ribosomal RNA
Source: RNAcentral
UACGGGGGGUGCGAGCGUUGUCCGGAAUCACUGGGCGUAAAGGGCGCGUAGGUGGUUUGAUAAGGGUGUGGUGAAAGUCCGGGGCUCAACCCCGGAUCUGCCGUGCCGACUGUCAAACUCGAGGGCUGUAGAGGCAGACGGAAUUCCUGGUGUAGCGGUGAAAUGCGUAGAUAUCAGGAGGAACACCGGUGGCGAAGGCGGGUCUCUGGGCCGAUACUGACGCUGAGGAGCGAAAGCGUGGGGAGCGAACAGG